AUAUUAGCCAAAAGGCCAAGAAGCAAGCAUAGUAGCUAUUCCUAUCAGUUUAAUAUCUGACACAUCCUCUAUCCAAGGACAAUAUAUUAAAUGGAUUUUUGUAACUAGGAGAUGGAACAGAACUUGCUCCAUCCACUCCAUGCAUUGACCCAGGUAUUACUGUACUUCCAGGAAUAGUGCACCCCCU
This 187-nucleotide small nuclear RNA is filed under the name Physeter macrocephalus (sperm whale). Its description in RNAcentral is "Physeter catodon (sperm whale) U2 spliceosomal RNA (ENSPCTG00005012792.1)". It matches the Rfam family "U2 spliceosomal RNA". Rfam says of the family: U2 is a small nuclear RNA (snRNA) component of the spliceosome (involved in pre-mRNA splicing). Complementary binding between U2 snRNA (in an area lying towards the 5' end but 3' to hairpin I) and the branchpoint sequence (BPS) of the intron results the bulging out of an unpaired adenosine, on the BPS, which initiates a nucleophilic attack at the intronic 5' splice site, thus starting the first of two transesterification reactions that mediate splicing. Lineage: Eukaryota; Metazoa; Chordata; Mammalia; Artiodactyla; Physeteridae. The record is from RNAcentral.